UGGGGAAUAUUGGACAAUGGGCGAAAGCCUGACCCAGCAACGCCGCGUGAAGGAUGAAAUCCCUCGGGAUGUAAACUUCGCAAGAACAGGAAGAAUAAGUAAGGGUUAAUAUCCCUUACGAUGACGGUACUGUUUGUAAGCUCCGGCUAACUCCGUGCCAGCAGCCGCGGUAAUACGGGGGGAGCAAGCGUUGUUCGGAUUUACUGGGCGUAAAGGGCGCGUAGGCGGCCACUGCAAGUCGGUUGUGAAAUCUCCGGGCUUAACCCGGAAAGGUCAAUCGAUACUGCAGGGCUAGAGUGCAGAAGGGGCAACUGGAAUUCUCGGUGUAGCGGUGAAAUGCGUAGAUAUCGAGAGGAACACCUGCGGCGAAGGCGGGUUGCUGGGCUGACACUGACGCUGAAGCGCGAAAGCUAGGGGAGCAAA
RNAcentral lists this ribosomal RNA (423 nucleotides) under uncultured bacterium. RNAcentral's name for it is "bacterial SSU rRNA". It matches the Rfam family "Bacterial small subunit ribosomal RNA", at positions 355 to 772 of the family's 1533-position model. The record is from RNAcentral.